UACGUAGGUGGCAAGCGUUGUCCGGAAUUAUUGGGCGUAAAGCGCGCGCAGGUGGUUCCUUAAGUCUGAUGUAAAAGGCAGUGGCUCAACCAUUGUGUGCAUUGGAAACUGUUAGACUUGAGUGCAGUAGAGGAGAGUGGAAUUCCAUGUGUAGCGGUGAAAUGCGUAGAUAUAUGGAGGAACACCGGUGGCGAAAGCGGCUCUCUGGACUGUAACUGACACUGAGGCUCGAAAGCGUGGGUAGCAAACAGG
RNAcentral lists this ribosomal RNA (252 nucleotides) under uncultured microorganism. RNAcentral describes it as "partial 16S ribosomal RNA". It matches the Rfam family "Bacterial small subunit ribosomal RNA", at positions 524 to 776 of the family's 1533-position model. The record is from RNAcentral.